Hibiscus syriacus is the source of this 147-nucleotide long non-coding RNA. RefSeq lists it as uncharacterized. The record is from RefSeq and is a predicted model, not a curated record. The transcript has 3 exons. Lineage: Eukaryota; Viridiplantae; Streptophyta; Magnoliopsida; Malvales; Malvaceae.
UACCAGCUUUUUGAAAGGAAAAGGAGCAUUGCAACCAAUAAUAGCUUUGCGUCUUGCACUAGAUAUUGCAAGGUUUGUUACGGUAUUAUUUUAGUUUGGACUUGAUAAACUAUUGCUUUGCUUUGAUGGCUAUUUUCCCUUAUUUUU